RNAcentral lists this ribosomal RNA (607 nucleotides) under uncultured bacterium. Its description in RNAcentral is "bacterial SSU rRNA". It matches the Rfam family "Bacterial small subunit ribosomal RNA", at positions 338 to 947 of the family's 1533-position model. The record is from RNAcentral.
CCUACGGGAGGCAGCAGUGAGGAAUAUUGGACAAUGGGCGCAAGCCUGAUCCAGCCAUGCCGCGUGCAGGAAGAAGCAUCUAUGGUGUGUAAACUGCUUUUGUACAGGAAGAAACACUCCCUCGUGAGGGAGCUUGACGGUACUGUAAGAAUAAGGACCGGCUAACUCCGUGCCAGCAGCCGCGGUAAUACGGAGGGUCCGAGCGUUAUCCGGAAUCAUUGGGUUUAAAGGGUCCGUAGGCGGUUUAAUAAGUCAGUGGUGAAAUCUGGUCGCUCAACGAUCAAACGGCCAUUGAUACUGUUAGACUUGAAUUAUAAGGAAGUAACUAGAAUAUGUAGUGUAGCGGUGAAAUGCUUAGAUAUUACAUGGAAUACCAAUUGCGAAGGCAGGUUACUACUUAUGGAUUGACGCUGAUGGACGAAAGCGUGGGGAGCGAACAGGAUUAGAUACCCUGGUAGUCCACGCCGUAAACGAUGGAUACUAGCUGUUCGGAGCAAUCUGAGUGGCUAAGCGAAAGUGAUAAGUAUCCCACCUGGGGAGUCGUUGCAAGAAUGAAACUUCAAAGGAAUUGAGGCUUGGAGAGNGCGAGCGACGACGAGGGAGGAGG